RNAcentral lists this ribosomal RNA (405 nucleotides) under uncultured bacterium. RNAcentral describes it as "partial 16S ribosomal RNA". It matches the Rfam family "Bacterial small subunit ribosomal RNA", at positions 28 to 526 of the family's 1533-position model. The record is from RNAcentral.
GACGAACGCUGGCGGCGUGCUUAACACAUGCAAGUCGAGCGGAGCGGCUAACGGGUGAGUAACGCGUGAAUAACUGCCCCCCUCUCUGGGAUAACAGUUCGAAACGGCUGCCAAUACCGGAUAGUGGGGGAUGACUCGGGUCCUAUCGGCUUGUUGGUGGGGUAGUGGCCUACCAAGGCGACGACGGGUCGCCGGCCUGGGAGGGCGACCGGCCACAUUGGGCUGAGAGACGGCCCGAGGUCCAACGGGGGGCAGCAGGGGGAAAUAUUGCGAAAUGGGGGAAACCCUGAUGCAGCGACGCCGGGUGCGGAAUGACGGUCUUUGGGUUGUAAACCGCUUGCAGCCAUGACGCGGUAGUGGCAGAAGAAGCACCGGCUAACUACGUGCCAGCAGCCGCGGUAAUAC